CGCUUCUUCAACAAAUGCAGCCACCUCGGUAGCUCGCUAGCCAACAAAGUCUGAACAUUCAAGUUCUUUAGACACUUUCCAGGUUUAAUUGCAACUGUGAUUUAAACAUACUUAUGUGUAAACAACUAGCUACCCCAUUUAAUUUAAUAUUUACGUUGCAACUAUCUGGCUGGUUAAGUUAGCACUAGCCUAGCUAGCUAACAUCCCCGACCAUGCGCUCACUAAGCUACUCUCCUCCUGCUAAAGAGGAGGUCUGUUGGACGGAGAAAGAAGCUCUGGGGCUGAACGUUGUCGUGAAAGAGGAGAAGGAAGAGGAGGAUGUCACAGUAAAACAAGAAGUAGAGGGUGAGGCUGUUACCGUGAAAGAAGAAGAGAAAGACGUUUCAGUGAAAGAAGAGGAAGACGCGUUCAGAGUGAAAGAGGAGGAGGAUGUUACUGUGAAGGAAGAGGAGGAAGUGAAAGAAAAUGAAAACGUUUUUGGAAUGAAGGAUGAAGAGGGGGAGAUUACUGUCACAUUAGAGGAGGACGAAGAAGAGAAGACUGGAGAACUGAUUAACACCAGUAAAUACAGAGAGAUACUUAACUAUCGUGGAUCCCUCUGGGGAGCCUCAACAACCUCGUGAUGCUGAAGAGGCAGAGAAGAGUCUCUCCACAUUAGAACACCUCAAUAAACACCUGCAAAGACCCACAGGGAAGAGACCUCACUGCUGCUCAGAGAACACACACAGGAGAGAAACCUUAUAGCUGUGGUCAAUGUGGGAAGAGUUUUACUCAGUCAAGCAGCCUGAUAUCACACCAGAGAAUACACACUGGAGAGAAACCUUAUAGCUGUGAUCAAUGUGGGAAGAGUUUUAGUCAAUCUGGCUCUCUGACUCUACACCAGAGAACACACACAGGAGAGAAACCUUGUAGCUGUGAUCAAUGUGGGAAGAGUUUUAGUCAAUCUGGCUCUCUGACUCUACACCAGAGAACACACACAGGAGAGAAACCUUGUAGCUGUGAUCAAUGUGGGAAGAGUUUUAGUCAAUCUGGCUCUCUGACUCUACACCAGAGAACACACACAGGAGAGAAACCUUAUAAAUGUGGGAAGAGUUUUGGUCGAUCUGCACAUCUGACUCAACACAAGAGAACACACACAGGAGAGAAAUAUUUUGGCUGUGGUCAAUGUGACAAGAGAUACUCUGAUAAAAGGCCUCUGAUCAAACAUCAGAAAAUACAUGGAGUUGUUUCAUGAUAUCAAUGAAAUAAUGUCACAAUGUAGAAUGUUUUAACAUUGUAGAAGGAGUAUUUUAAUGAUGUCACAAUGUAGAAUGUUUAAACAUUGUAGUAGGAGUAUUUUAAUGAUGUCACAAUGUAGAACCCUAAAAGUGACUAACACAAAAGGAGUUCUGUUACACUUACCACGUUAGUGACGCACAGGAAUCACAAUGCA
Molecule: long non-coding RNA, 1432 nt
Filed under: Salmo salar (Atlantic salmon)
Lineage: Eukaryota; Metazoa; Chordata; Actinopteri; Salmoniformes; Salmonidae
Description: lncRNA (ENSSSAG00000093359.1)
Source: RNAcentral